GAGUUUGAUCAUGGCUCAGAUUGAACGCUGGCGGCAGGCCUAACACAUGCAAGUCGAGCGGAUGACGGGAGCUUGCUCCUUGAUUCAGCGGCGGACGGGUGAGUAAUGCCUAGGAAUCUGCCUGGUAGUGGGGGACAACGUUUCGAAAGGAACGCUAAUACCGCAUACGUCCUACGGGAGAAAGCAGGGGACCUUCGGGCCUUGCGCUAUCAGAUGAGCCUAGGUCGGAUUAGCUAGUUGGUGGGGUAAUGGCUCACCAAGGCGACGAUCCGUAACUGGUCUGAGAGGAUGAUCAGUCACACUGGAACUGAGACACGGUCCAGACUCCUACGGGAGGCAGCAGUGGGGAAUAUUGGACAAUAGGGCGAAAGCCUGAUCCAGCCAUGCCGCGUGUGUGAAGAAGGUCUUCGGAUUGUAAAGCACUUUAAGUUGGGAGGAAGGGCAGUAAGUUAAUACCUUGCUGUUUUGACGUUACCGACAGAAUAAGCACCGGCUAACUCUGUGCCAGCCGCCG
This 514-nucleotide ribosomal RNA is filed under the name bacterium enrichment culture clone ALO1_GLFRUDD03F2OKW. RNAcentral's name for it is "bacterial SSU rRNA". It matches the Rfam family "Bacterial small subunit ribosomal RNA", at positions 9 to 517 of the family's 1533-position model. The record is from RNAcentral.